RNAcentral lists this ribosomal RNA (911 nucleotides) under uncultured bacterium. RNAcentral describes it as "bacterial SSU rRNA". It matches the Rfam family "Bacterial small subunit ribosomal RNA", at positions 26 to 896 of the family's 1533-position model. The record is from RNAcentral.
AGAACGAACGCUGGCGGCGUGGAUUAGGCAUGCAAGUCGAACGGUAUCUUUCGGACGGAUCCUUCGGGUGAAGUUUGUUAGAGAGAGUGGCGAACGGGUGAGUAACACGUGGGCAACUUGCCCCUAAGUUCGGGAUAGCCCGCCGAAAGGCGGGGUAAUACCGGAUGUGGUCGCUCCGCGAUUGCGGAGUUGUCUAAAGGUGGGGAUUCUUCGGAACCUAUCGCUUAGGGAUGGGCCCGCGGCCUAUCAGCUUGUUGGUGAGGUAACGGCUCACCAAGGCAGAGACGGGUAGCUGGUCUGAGAGGAUGGUCAGCCACACUGGGACUGAGACACUGCCCAGACUCCUACGGGAGGCUGCAGUCGAGAAUCAUUCACAAUGCGCGAAAGCGUGAUGAUGCGACGCCGCGUGGAGGAUGACGGCCUUCGGGUUGUAAACUCCUGUCAUGAGGGAACAAGGAUGUCGAGGUUAAUACCCUCGCUAUUUGAUGGUACCUCAAGAGGAAGCCACGGCUAACUCUGUGCCAGCAGCCGCGGUAAUACAGAGGUGGCGAGCGUUGUUCGGAUUUACUGGGCGUAAAGGGUGCGUAGGCGGUUCUGUGUGUCAGAUGUGAAAUCUCACCGUCCAACGGUGAAACUGCAUUUGAAACUGCAGGACUAGAGUACAGGAGGGGAGAGCGGAAUUCUCGGUGUAGCGGUGAAAUGCGUAGAUAUUGAGAAGAACGCCGGUGGCGAAGGCGGCUCUCUGGACUGAUACUGACGCUGAGGCACGAAAGUUGGGGGAGCGAACAGGAUUAGAUACCCUGGUAGUCCCAACCGUAAACGGUGUGCACUUGGUGUGGGUGGGUUUGUCCCCAUCCGUGCCGGAGCUAACGCGUUAAGUGCACCGCCUGGGGAGUACGGUCGCAAGACUA